GCAGUGGGGAAUAUUGCACAAUGGGCGAAAGCCUGAUGCAGCAACGCCGCGUGAGUGAUGAAGGUCCUAUGGACUGUAAAGCUCUGAUCUGGGGGAAGAUAAUGACGGUACCCCAGGAGAAAGCCCCGGCUAACUCCGUGCCAGCAGCCGCGGUAAUACGGGGGGGGCAAGCGUUAUCCGGAAUUAUUGGGCGUAAAGAGUGCGUAGGUGGUUUUCUAAGCGAGGGGUGAAAGGCAGUGGCUCAACCAUUGUUAGCCUUUCGAACUGGAUGACUUGAGUGCAGGAGGGGAAAGCGGAAUUCCUAGUGUAGCGGUGAAAUGCGUAGAUAUUAGGAGGAACACCGGUGGCGAAGGCGGCUUUCUGGACUGUAACUGACACUGAGGCACGAAAGCGUGGGGAGCAAACAGGAUUAGAUACCCUGGUAGUCCACGCCGUAAACGAUGAGCGCUAGGUGUCGGGGCCUAUAAAGCCUCGGUGCCGAAGUUAACGCAUUAAGCGCUCCGCCUGGGGAGUACGCACGCAAGUGUGAAACUCAAAGGAAUUGACGGGGACCCGCACAAGCAGCGGAGCAUGUGGUUUAAUUCGAAGCAACGCGAAGAACCUUACCAGGGCUUGACAUCCUGCUGACAGGCGUGUAACGGCGCCCUUCUUCGGACAGCAGUGACAGGUGGUGCAUGGUUGUCGUCAGCUCGUGUCGUGAGAUGUUGGGUUAAGUCCCGCAACGAGCGCAACCCUUGUCGUUAGUUGCCAUCAGGUUAUGCUGGGCACUCUAGCGAGACUGCCGGGGACAACUCGGAGGAAGGUGGGGAUGACGUCAAAUCAUCAUGCCCCUUAUGUUCUGGGCUACACACGUGCUACAAUGGCCGGUACAAUGGGAUGCAAUACGGCGACGUGGAGCAAAUCACCAAAACCGGUCCCAGUUCGGAUUGCAGGCUGAAACUCGCCUGCAUGAAGUCGGAGUUGCUAGUAAUCGUGAAUCAGAAUGUCACGGUGAAUACGUUCCCGGGUCUUGUACACACCGCCCGUCACACCAUGGAAGUUGGGGGCGCCCGAAGUAGGCAGUUUAAUAUGUUUCCUAAGGCGAAAUCAAU
Molecule: ribosomal RNA, 1091 nt
Filed under: uncultured bacterium
Lineage: Bacteria
Description: SSU rRNA
Rfam family: Bacterial small subunit ribosomal RNA
Source: RNAcentral